Small nuclear RNA from Sarcophilus harrisii (Tasmanian devil), 107 nucleotides. Lineage: Eukaryota; Metazoa; Chordata; Mammalia; Dasyuromorphia; Dasyuridae. The record is from Ensembl.
GUGCUUACUUUGGCAGCACAUUUACUAAAAUUGGACGGAUAUAGGGAAGAUUAGCAUGGCUCAUAUGCAAGGAUGACAUGCAAAUUUGUGAAGCAUUCUAUUUAAAA